This 213-nucleotide long non-coding RNA is filed under the name Mytilus galloprovincialis (Mediterranean mussel). The record is from RNAcentral. Lineage: Eukaryota; Metazoa; Mollusca; Bivalvia; Mytilida; Mytilidae.
CCCUAGAAUCCGACACUGGUUAGAUUUUCGUUUAAUUUCUAAAUACCCACCAGUAUACAUUAUAUUUCCAACAGAAUUUUAUGAACAAUACUACCGUCAUUAAAUUCAGAAAUAUUUAAUGUAAAAGUUUCACACCAAAUCUUAUAUGUGACAUCUCAAAAACAAACCCAUUACAGCGGCACUUCUGUAUAUGGAACUUCGGAAUAUAGGAAC